Molecule: ribosomal RNA, 208 nt
Filed under: uncultured Acidobacteriota bacterium
Lineage: Bacteria; Pseudomonadati; Acidobacteriota
Description: uncultured Acidobacteria bacterium partial 16S ribosomal RNA
Rfam family: Bacterial small subunit ribosomal RNA
Source: RNAcentral
CGCGUAGGCGGUUUGGCAAGUCAGAUGUGAAAUCCCCGGGCUUAACUCGGGAAUUGCAUCUGAAACUGCUUUUCUUGAGUCCUGGAGGGGGUAGUGGAAUUCCCAGUGUAGCGGUGAAAUGCGUAGAUAUUGGGAGGAACACCUGUGGCGAAGGCGGCUACCUGGACAGUGACUGACGCUGAGGCGCGAAAGCUAGGGGAGCGAACGG